Molecule: ribosomal RNA, 305 nt
Filed under: uncultured bacterium
Lineage: Bacteria
Description: bacterial SSU rRNA
Rfam family: Bacterial small subunit ribosomal RNA
Source: RNAcentral
AGCCUACGGGGCGCAGCAGUGAGGAAUAUUGGUCAAUGGGCGCAAGCCUGAACCAGCCAAGUCGCGUUAGGGAAGACGGUCCUAUGGAUUGUAAACCUCUUUUGUCGGGGAGCAAAGCGCGGUACGAGUGCCGUGAAGGAGAGUACCCGAAGAAAAAGCAUCGGCUAACUCCGUGCCAGCAGCCGCGGUAAUACGGAGGAUGCGAGCGUUAUCCGGAUUUAUUGGGUUUAAAGGGAGCGUAGGCCGCAUGUCAAGCGUGCUGUGAAAUGUCCGGGCUCAACCCGGGCCUUGCAGCGCGAACUGGC